GAUGAACGCUGGCGGCGUGCCUAAUACAUGCAAGUCGAGCGAACAGACGAGGAGCUUGCUCCUUCGACGUUAGCGGCGGACGGGUGAGUAACACGUAGGUAACCUACCUAUAAGACUGGGAUAACUUCGGGAAACCGGAGCUAAUACCGGAUAAUAUUUCGAACCGCAUGGUUCGAUAGUGAAAGAUGGCUUUGCUAUCACUUAUAGAUGGACCUGCGCCGUAUUAGCUAGUUGGUAAGGUAACGGCUUACCAAGGCAACGAUACGUAGCCGACCUGAGAGGGUGAACGGACACAGUGGGACUGAGGCAGGGCCCAGACUGCGAAGGGAGGCAGGAGGGGGGAAUAGUGCAAAAUGGGAGGAAGUGUGAAGCAGCAACGCCGGGUGAGGGACGACGGACUUCGGGUUGUAAACAUAGUUUAGCAGGGAAGAAGCGAAAGUGAGGGUACCUGAUGAAAAAGCGCCGGCUAACUACGUG
RNAcentral lists this ribosomal RNA (477 nucleotides) under uncultured bacterium. Its description in RNAcentral is "partial 16S ribosomal RNA". It matches the Rfam family "Bacterial small subunit ribosomal RNA", at positions 28 to 507 of the family's 1533-position model. The record is from RNAcentral.